CAAGAGAGAGAGACUGGAGAAGGAGGGAGGGGAAAGAGAGAGGGUAGGGGGAGAGAGGAGAGAGGGAGGAGAGGAGAGGAGAAAAAAAAAAAAGAGAGAGACAGAGAGACUGAGAACCAGGACUCACACCCAGGGCUGCACCUUUAAGUAAGGCUAUACUUAUAACCUGUGAAAAACAAAGUAUUUUUGUUUCUUCUACUGAUUUUCCCUUCUCAUAGAAGAUUACUCCCAGAGCUUAGUUUAAGUAGCAAAUUCCAGUUUAGCCUUAAUCUUUCAGGUUUGGGAGACUCAUCUCCCUUCACCCCAAGCCUAGCUCAUAGUAGUGAUUUUUAUUCUGAAGAGGGAAAUCAACUAACAAACAGGAUGAGUGAGGACAAUAUCCAGAUAUUAGCUCCUCCUCAUCAGCCACAGAAGUUUGUGUCUACUCUCUAGCUCCACCUACUGGACCUUGUGUAAAUCACCUGAAUAAAUGCACAAGCGCUCACUGCAAGACCCCAUGCUAUACAAGGCACUGAGGGAAAGGAAGCAACAUUAUUCUUUCAGGGACUGCUAGGAUUAAAAGAAACUUUUAAGGCGAAUCUCCUCUUUUACUGAAGAGAAAACUAAGUGCUAGAUGCAUUGGGCAUUUGCUGCAUGUGGAGUCAAAUUGGCCAGAGUUUGAACCAUGGUCCUGCCACUUCCUGAUAAUGGCACCUCAGAUGCAGCCUACAUCAAGGAAGCUGCCUGCUGUUAGGGGAACAGGAUACCUGCAGAGGCUCCGGUCCUGACAAUGCCUUCAGCUCCACCUCCCACCAAAGACCUGUGUGGUGUCAGCAGCAGCCCCAUUUGCAGGUGAGGACAGAACUUAGAGCCCUGACUGUUGGGACCCUCUCCACCUAAAAUGCAACCCCCUGAGGUGCUGAGGAGCACACCAGAGCCUUCUUCCACUUGCCAGCCCUUCAGCUAUUUACAGAACUUCCCAGAGCAGGUUAUCUGCAAUGGAAGCAGUGAUGCAGCACCCACAUGUCCCAGAGGAAGGGUUGUCAGCUGACAGCUCACAGCUGGAUCACGCUGGGGGAUUUUUUUUCUUUCCCCUGGAGAAAAUGCAUCUAAUGACUGAUUGAGAUGACGAACAGAAGUCUGGCCCUUUGCGUAUCUGGGCUGCUGACCCAAUAAAAUGGAGCCCCUGUGACCUGCUUUCAGGGCUUUCACAACUGGUCCCGCAUGACGACCCUGCCUGACAACCCCAACUUGGCUUCAGCCUUCCUCUUGCUGGAUGACUUCAGCAAGUCAGACACUCUCCAUGCAUGUGCCUUCUCGUUUAUAAAACAAAGACAGGAUUAUUGUGAGAAUCAAAUAAAAUAAUGGAUAUAAGCA
Molecule: long non-coding RNA, 1356 nt
Filed under: Homo sapiens (human)
Lineage: Eukaryota; Metazoa; Chordata; Mammalia; Primates; Hominidae
Description: HSALNT0144342
Source: RNAcentral